This 250-nucleotide ribosomal RNA is filed under the name uncultured bacterium. RNAcentral's name for it is "partial 16S ribosomal RNA". It matches the Rfam family "Bacterial small subunit ribosomal RNA", at positions 524 to 776 of the family's 1533-position model. The record is from RNAcentral.
UACGUAGGGGGCAAGCGUUGUCCGGAUUAUUGGGCGUAAAGAGCGUGUAGGCGGCCAGACAGGUCCGUUGUGAAACUCGAGGCUCAACCUCGAGACGCCGAUGGAAACCGUCUGGCUAGAGUCCGGAAGAGGAGAGUGGAAUUCCUGGUGUAGCGGUGGAAUGCGCAGAUAUCAGGAGGAACACCCAUAGCGAAGGCAGCUUGCUGGGACGUUACUGACGCUAAGGCGCGAAAGCGUGGGAGCGAACAGG